AUUGAACGCUGGCGGCAGGCCUAACACAUGCAAGUCGAACGAGUGGCGGACGGGUGAGUAAUGUCUGGGAAACCGCCCGAUGGAGGGGGAUAACUACUGGAAACGGGAGCUAAUACCGCAUACCAUCAGAUGUGUCCAGAUGGGAUUAGCUCGUUGGUGGGGUAAAGGCUCACCAGGGCGACGAACCCUAGCUGGUCUGCGAGGAUGACCGGCCACACGGGAACUGGGACACGGUCCAAACGCCUACGGGAGGCAGCAGUGGGGAAUAUUGCACAAUGGGGGCAAUCCUGAUGCAGCCAUGCCGCGGGUAUGAGGAAGGCCUUCGGGUUGUAAAGUACUUUCAGCGGGGAGGCGUUACCCGCAGAAGAAGCACCGGCUAACUCCGUGCCAGCAGCCGCGGUAAUAC
RNAcentral lists this ribosomal RNA (406 nucleotides) under uncultured bacterium. RNAcentral's name for it is "partial 16S ribosomal RNA". It matches the Rfam family "Bacterial small subunit ribosomal RNA", at positions 29 to 526 of the family's 1533-position model. The record is from RNAcentral.